AUUUCUGAUUGCCAAUGGCAAGGCUGGAAUCGCUACUUUCGGUAACCCGUGCGUCGCAGGUUCGAAUCCUGCCGGGGGCGCCA
Molecule: transfer RNA, 83 nt
Filed under: Polymorphospora rubra
Lineage: Bacteria; Bacillati; Actinomycetota; Actinomycetes; Micromonosporales; Micromonosporaceae
Description: tRNA-Ser
Source: RNAcentral